RNAcentral lists this ribosomal RNA (76 nucleotides) under Bouteloua dactyloides. RNAcentral's name for it is "partial 26S ribosomal RNA". It matches the Rfam family "Eukaryotic large subunit ribosomal RNA", at positions 1 to 74 of the family's 3401-position model. Lineage: Eukaryota; Viridiplantae; Streptophyta; Magnoliopsida; Poales; Poaceae. The record is from RNAcentral.
CGCGACCCCAGGUCAGUCGGGACUACCCGCCGAAUUUAAGCAUAUAAAUAAGCGGAGGAAAAGAAACUUACAAGGA